UGGGGAAUAUUGGACAAUGGGGGCAACCCUGAUCCAGCAAUGCCGCGUGUGUGAAGAAGGUUUUCGGAUUGUAAAGCACUUUCGACGGGGACGAUGAUGACGGUACCCGUAGAAGAAGCCCCGGCUAACUUCGUGCCAGCAGCCGCGGUAAUACGAAGGGGGCUAGCGUUGCUCGGAAUGACUGGGCGUAAAGGGCGUGUAGGCGGUUUGUACAGUCAGAUGUGAAAUCCCCGGGCUUAACCUGGGAGCUGCAUUUGAUACGUGCAGACUAGAGUGUGAGAGAGGGUUGUGGAAUUCCCAGUGUAGAGGUGAAAUUCGUAGAUAUUGGGAAGAACACCGGUGGCGAAGGCGGCAACCUGGCUCAUAACUGACGCUGAGGCGCGAAAGCGUGGGG
RNAcentral lists this ribosomal RNA (394 nucleotides) under uncultured bacterium. RNAcentral describes it as "partial 16S ribosomal RNA". It matches the Rfam family "Bacterial small subunit ribosomal RNA", at positions 355 to 766 of the family's 1533-position model. The record is from RNAcentral.